RNAcentral lists this ribosomal RNA (405 nucleotides) under uncultured bacterium. RNAcentral's name for it is "partial 16S ribosomal RNA". It matches the Rfam family "Bacterial small subunit ribosomal RNA", at positions 30 to 526 of the family's 1533-position model. The record is from RNAcentral.
AUUGAACGCUGGCGGCAAGCCUAACACAUGCAAGUCGAACGAGUGGCGGACGGGUGAGUAAUGUCUGGGAAACUGCCUGAUGGAGGGGGAUAACUACUGGAAACGGUAGCUAAUACCGCAUACCAUCGGAUGUGCCCAGAUGGGAUUAGCUAGUAGGUGGGGUAAAGGCUCACCUAGGCGACGAUCCCUAGCUGGUCUGAGAGGAUGACCAGCCACACGGGAACUGGACAACGGUCAAGCCGCCAACGGGGGGCAGAAGUGGGAAAUAUUGCACAUUGGGCUCAGCCUGAUGCAGCCAUGCCGCGUGUAUGAAGAAGGCCUUCGGGUUGUAAAGUACUUUCAGCGGGGAGGCGUUACCCGCAGAAGAAGCACCGGCUAACUCCGUGCCAGCAGCCGCGGUAAUUC